RNAcentral lists this long non-coding RNA (597 nucleotides) under Hordeum vulgare. RNAcentral describes it as "long non-coding RNA (HVUL_LNC005331)". The record is from RNAcentral. Lineage: Eukaryota; Viridiplantae; Streptophyta; Magnoliopsida; Poales; Poaceae.
CGCCCGGCUCCAUGCAGGCGAAGCGAAGCCCGGCCGGCAGCGGGAGGACGAGGAGGUAGACGGAGGCGCUGGGAGUAGGCAGGCAGGGGAAUACUAGCUCCUAGCUCCAAACGCUAAUGCUAUGGGUACAGCUACAGGCGCAGCUAUAAACGGGUGCCAUUCAUCCCAUUCAAUUGCUUCCCCUAAUAAAACGCGCCCUCCUCCCCCCCCCCCCCCCCCCCCCCCCCCCCCCCCCCCCCCCCCCCCCCCCCCCCCCCCCCCCCCCCCCCCCCCCCCCCCCCCCCCCCCCCCCCCCCCCCCCCCCCCCCCCCCCCCCCCCCCCCCCCCCCCCCCCCCCCCCCCCCCCCCCCCCCCCCCCCNGACGCCGCGGGCCACGUCGCGGCCAGCCGGGUUCGUUUACCUUUAACUUACCUGCGGGGGCCGGGCCCCGCGCGCCCUUCGUGCUUGCCUAAAAUAAAUGCGCGGUGUGGUGAAUGAAUGAAUGGUGUGAAGCCAUGGAUACGCGCUGCGUCACGCAAUCCCGCCUCUCCUCCAGACGACGCUACCAAGAGUCCGGCCUGGGCUAUGGCUUGCUGUGGCACGCUGCCGCCACNNNNN